CAAUAGCGUAUAUUAAAGUUGUUGCAGUUAAAAAGCUCGUAGUUGGAUUUCUGGUCGGAAGCUCCUGUCCUCUGAUGAGCGUACAAGUGCGUCCUACCAUCCUUCUGUUAACCUUUAAGGCUUUCGCGGCUUUCUAGGGGCUCAGAUAUUUUACCUUGAGAAAAUUAGAGUGUUUCAGGCAGGCUAGCGCCGGAAUACAUUAGCAUGGAAUAAUGGAAUAGGACUUUUGCCUCUUCUGUUGGUCAUGAGGCUCGAGUAAUGAUUAAUAGGGAUAGUUGGGGGCAUUAGUACUUAACUGUCAGAGGUGAAAUUCUCGGAUUUGUUAAAGACUAACUUAUGCGAAAGCAUUUGCCAAGGAUGUUUUCACUA
RNAcentral lists this ribosomal RNA (369 nucleotides) under uncultured eukaryote. RNAcentral's name for it is "partial 18S ribosomal RNA". It matches the Rfam family "Eukaryotic small subunit ribosomal RNA", at positions 592 to 975 of the family's 1831-position model. The record is from RNAcentral.